GGAGACGUGGCAGAGUGGUUGAAUGCACCGCAUUCGAAACGCGGCAGGUCCUCAAAAGGCCUCGGGGGUUCGAAUCCUCCCGUCUCCGCCA
This 91-nucleotide transfer RNA is filed under the name Candidatus Komeilibacteria bacterium CG_4_10_14_0_2_um_filter_37_10. RNAcentral's name for it is "tRNA-Ser". It matches the Rfam family "tRNA". From Rfam's summary of the family: Transfer RNA (tRNA) molecules are approximately 80 nucleotides in length. Lineage: Bacteria; Candidatus Komeiliibacteriota. The record is from RNAcentral.